This 445-nucleotide ribosomal RNA is filed under the name Ictinogomphus australis. Its description in RNAcentral is "partial 16S ribosomal RNA". It matches the Rfam family "Bacterial large subunit ribosomal RNA", at positions 1926 to 2585 of the family's 2925-position model. The record is from RNAcentral. Lineage: Eukaryota; Metazoa; Arthropoda; Insecta; Odonata; Gomphidae.
AACGGCCGCGGUAUUUUUGACCGUGCAAAGGUAGCAUAAUCAUUAGUCUUUUAAUAGGAGGCUGGUAUGAAGGGUUUGACGAGGAGUUGACUGUCUCAUUUGAUUUUGUUGUAGAAUUUAACUUUUCAGUUAAAAGGCUGAAAUUUCAUUGGAAGACGAGAAGACCCUAUAGAGUUUAAUAAUUAAUUUUAUAAUUAUGUAUAAUAUUUAAUAUAUGGGAUUAAUUAUUUUGUUGGGGUGACAAAAAUAUAUAAUUAACUUUUUUAUUUAUUUGUCAUUGAUAUAUGUAUUUAAGAUCCAAUCUUAUUGAUUGUUAGAAUAAGUUACCUUAGGGAUAACAGCGUAAUCUUUCUUUGGAGUUCUUAUUUAUAGAAAGGCUUGCGACCUCGAUGUUGGAUUAAGAUAACAGUUAGGUGUAGCCGCUUAAUGUGUAGGUCUGUUCGAC